GCCCCCUUAGCUCAUGGUUGGUUAGAGCGGCAAGCUCAUAACUUGAAGGUACGUGGUUCGACUCCACGAGGGGGCACCA
This 79-nucleotide transfer RNA is filed under the name Acidimicrobiia bacterium. RNAcentral's name for it is "tRNA-Met". It matches the Rfam family "tRNA". Rfam says of the family: Transfer RNA (tRNA) molecules are approximately 80 nucleotides in length. Lineage: Bacteria; Bacillati; Actinomycetota; Acidimicrobiia. The record is from RNAcentral. RNAcentral also lists the same sequence under 1 other name.